GAUGAACGCUGGCGGCGUGCCUAAUACAUGCAAGUCGAGCGAACGGACGAGAAGCUUGCUUCUCUGAUGUUAGCGGCGGACGGGUGAGUAACACGUGGAUAACCUACCUAUAAGACUGGGAUAACUUCGGGAAACCGGAGCUAAUACCGGAUGAUAUUUUGAACCGCAUGGUUCAAAAGUGAAAGACGGUCUUGCUGUCACUUAUAGAUGGAUCCGCGCUGCAUUAGCUAGUUGGUAAGGUAACGGCUUACCAAGGCAACGAUGCAUAGCCGACCUGAGAGGGUGAUCGGCCACACUGGUACUGAGACACGGUCCAGACUCCUACGGGAGGCAGCAGUAGGGAAUCUCCCGCAAUGGGCGAAAGCCUGACGGAGCAACGCCGCGUGAGUGAUGAAGGUCUUCGGAUCGUAAAACUCUGUUAUUAGGGAAGAACAUAUGUGUAAGUAACUGUGCACAUCUUGACGGUACCUAAUCAGAAAGCCACGGCUAACUACGUG
Molecule: ribosomal RNA, 497 nt
Filed under: uncultured bacterium
Lineage: Bacteria
Description: partial 16S ribosomal RNA
Rfam family: Bacterial small subunit ribosomal RNA
Source: RNAcentral